RNAcentral lists this ribosomal RNA (119 nucleotides) under Pteropus alecto (black flying fox). The record is from RNAcentral. Lineage: Eukaryota; Metazoa; Chordata; Mammalia; Chiroptera; Pteropodidae.
GUCUACGGCCAUGCCACCCUGAACGUGCCCAAUCUUGUCUGAUCUUGGAAGCUAAGCAGGGUCGGGCCUGGUUAGUACUUGGAUGGGAGACCACCUAGGAAGACCAGGCGCUGUAGGCG